UUUGAUCCUGGGUUCAGGACGAAAGGCUGGCGGCAUGCCUAAUCCAGCCAAGUCGAACGAUGAAGCUUCCUGCUUGCAGGAAGCGGAUUAGUGGCGAACGGGUGAGUAACACGUGGGGAAUCUGCCCAUGAGCGAGGAAUAACAUUCGGAAACGGAUGCUAAUACCUCAUAAGUUCUCUGACCUCCUGGUCAUUGAAUAAAAGACGGCCUUUGUGCUGUCACUCAUGGAUGAUCCCGCGGCGUAUUAGUUAGUUGGUGAGGUAAUGGCUCACCAAGACCAUGAUACGUAGCCGACCUGAGAGGGUGAUCGGCCACACUGGGACUGAGAACGGCCCAGACUCCUACGGGAGGCAGCAGUAGGGAAUCUUCCACAAUGGGCGCAAGCCUGAUGGAGCAAUGCCGCGUGAAUGAAGAAGGUCUUCGGAUCGUAAAGUUCUGUUAUUAGAGAAGAAUAAGUUGAGGGGUAACUAUCUCGACUUUGACGGUACCUAACCAGAAAGUCACGGCUAACUACGUGCCAGCAGCCGCGGUAAUAUGUAGGUGACAAGCGUUGUCCGGAAUUAUUGGGCGUAAAGGGAGCGCAGGCGGUUGAAAUAGUCUGAUGUGAAAGCCCACGGCUUAACCGUGGAAUGUCAUUGGAAACUGUUCAACUUGAAUGCAGAAGAGGUAAGUGGAAUUCCAUGUGUAGCGGUGAAAUGCGUAGAUAUGUGGAGGAACACCAGUGGCGAAAGCGACUUACUGGUCUGUAAUUGACGCUGAGGCUCGAAAGCGUGGGUAGCGAACAGGAUUAGAUACCCUGGUAGUCCACGCUGUAAACGAUGAGUGCUAGGUGUUGGAGGGUUUCCGCCCUUCGGUGCCGGAGCUAACGUAUAAGCACUCCG
RNAcentral lists this ribosomal RNA (881 nucleotides) under uncultured bacterium. Its description in RNAcentral is "bacterial SSU rRNA". It matches the Rfam family "Bacterial small subunit ribosomal RNA", at positions 12 to 871 of the family's 1533-position model. The record is from RNAcentral.